GGUAAAGUCCCGCGGAGUUCUUACCCAUAACACAAAAAUGAAAGAAAAAAAGGGAGGGGGAUCCGUUGUUGAUAUAUCCAUCUGUCCCUUUACACAUAAAAUUCUUAGGAAUAUCAAACAAAAAAAAAAAGGAAUCCAACCAUUCUAUAGACGAUCCCGUAUUAUAUGAAUUUAUACAGAUAAAACAUUAUGUAAAAAGCAUUUCUCUACUAAUGAAUGGAACCUUACCCUAUCAAAUUUCAACCGUGAGGAGAUAAUAAAUAAAGAUUUAAAUAUACGUACAAAAAAAAAAAAGAAUCGUAAUAUUCAAAUAAAAUAUUUUUCUUGUUUAAUUUAGACACAAGAAAAAUAUUUUCUUAUGUCGAAUCAAAGAUUAGAAAGACUAGUAGUCUCUCCUAGAAACAUUUGUCCCUUUCAUUUAUCUUUUGCAUUGUAUUCUACUCUUCUCCUUUGUAUACCAAUUAUACAUUUCUAGUAAUGGAUACAAGUAAUACGAAUUCUAGCCAUCUCGCAAAAACAGUAUAAAUAAAAAAACUUUACAUAGUUUUUUUUAUGAUCAUACUUCUUGUAUCAAUCAAGAUAAAAAUAAACAAGAUAAAAACAAAAUUUAGACUUUUCCUUUUUAUUAACUAAAUGCUACAAAAUUCCUGUAUCUAAAAAUUCAUUUCAU
RNAcentral lists this long non-coding RNA (670 nucleotides) under Zostera marina. RNAcentral describes it as "long non-coding RNA (ZMAR_LNC002232)". Lineage: Eukaryota; Viridiplantae; Streptophyta; Magnoliopsida; Alismatales; Zosteraceae. The record is from RNAcentral.